UAUUUGAUCAUUCUGCUAUUGCUGAACCAGUGAUUACCUUUCUAAUCCAGUAGGGUCUGUACUGCAUGAGGUACUUGCACAUAGAGUUCCUGACCCAAUUUAAGUUUGUCAGCUUCCGCUACCAACAAAGCUGCAGCAGCCACUGCUCAUAGACAACGGGGAAGACCACUGCCACCGCAUCCAGUUGUUUGGACAAGUAAGCUACA
This is a non-coding RNA of Pelobates cultripes (western spadefoot toad), 206 nucleotides long. NCBI's taxonomy places the organism in Eukaryota, Metazoa, Chordata, Amphibia, Anura, Pelobatidae. The record is from the annotation of a GenBank genome assembly.